CUCUAUUUAUUCGUGCACAAUUUUAAUGCUCCAGAUGAAGCUGUUAACACAAUUUUCACAGGAUUUACAGUAUAUGAAUUUAGUGUUACGAUACAGCAAUUUCUCAUACGACUACAUACAAAUAACUUCGAUAACGGAAGGAUGGACAUUUAACAUACCGUAAAUAUGGUUAUCGACUUUGAAACAAGUUUCACCUGGCACUUGACUCACCAGUUGCACGUGAGAUGCUAGUUCUGACUUAGUAUUCUUGUGUGGCUACUUCGUAGCUCUUACACGGAAAAAGUCAUAACCACAAAUCUACUUCAUAAAAUUUCAAAGUGAACCGACCACAGGCUUCACAAUCAUUUCAAAAAUAACUCAGUGCCUACACCAUAAACUUACGCAAAUAUCUGCAAUCUAAGUUGAACUAGUAGUUAAAUGCAUGUUCUUACAAGCAACUUUAAUCUAAAUCAGGUCAUAAUGCAAUCCUACAAGUGGACCCAGGCUACCUGUCAGUAUAGUGACUGUCCAUGGGAUACGUGAUUAUGGCUAUUCCUGGCAGGGGCAAGAUCCCUUUGCAACUGCUGUCUGGGGCUUACCCAGGCUAAUUAAUGGGCACUGGAUGCUCUUUCCCCAGAAAUAAAAUCUGGGGCAUGAUGACUACUUACCUCCAUCUAGUACCAAGACUGUGUGGAACUAUACCUUCUUUCCCCCAUGCAUCUUCAUGGCAUGGUAUUUAAUUAAGCACAGAGACAACCUGCAUUCAUCUAACGGCAGAACUUAAUUUUGAAAGAAGGAACAAUGUAUGUAUAAUUUGAGGUUUUCACAUAGUGGUUAUGAAGAAGUCCAUCUUCUGGGAUGCUGUGAAGUCCACUGAAAGUCAAAUGACACUUUGGAGGAACAUGUCACCUUCAUCUUCAGGAUCGAAGAAUAUGUGAAGCAAGGAUGUACCAAAAUAUCAGUUGACUUUCAACAGACUACAUGGCAUUAUAUCCCAGAAGAUGGAACUAUUCAGUGUACACAGAAUACUGAACAUUUAGAUGUUCCAGCAGUUACAAACAGUUGCCCUUAUAAUGCUACCAAUUAGGCAUACAUAACAAAUGAUAGCUUAUUUUUGUUAAUACAAACUUCAUCUCCCUGGCUGUAAAAUUUGUUAUUAUGGAAUAUACUGAGGUGCAUAAACUACAUAAUAUACAGAUGAUGCCAUAUGGUGAAGACAUGAAGAAGCACUGAACUUAGGUACUUAAUUCUGAUAGAACAAAUAAUACAUGAGUAAAACAAAGCUAAGUGCUGAUAAAAUAUUCUUGGUCUACUAGCCAUGUUAAUUUAGAGAAGUUCAGUGUUGUCAGGUGUAGUAAGUGUAUCAAACCUUGUGUUAAAGAUAUUCUGUUAUUAACAUAUACUAUACUGAAUUAAGUAGCAAAUAGUAUUAGCAUGGCAAACCCUUGGUUGUCAGGUAUCCAAGUAUCCAACAUUUUCAACCAAUUGGCAAAAGUUUCAAAGAAAAUUUACAAUUUUUAUAGUUAUUCAGAAAAAAAGUUUGAAAUAUGUGUAUUUCCCCGGCCACAUGGUAGUUUUCCAAGCUGCCACUAGCAGCACUACCCAUUGUCCUCAUACAGAUGCCAUCACAGCAGAGGCCAGAUGAAUUUGUGAUUUCAUUAGAAUAUAUGUAUCCAAAAUCUUUCAUCCACCGAUCCACUAUGUUGCCUAGGAAGACUCCCUUACAGGAACUAAAGAUGAAAUAUGUUAUUUUGACUUUAUACUUAGUUUCCG
Long non-coding RNA from Cryptotermes secundus, 1752 nucleotides. RefSeq lists it as uncharacterized. The transcript is spliced from 2 exons. Lineage: Eukaryota; Metazoa; Arthropoda; Insecta; Blattodea; Kalotermitidae. The record is from RefSeq and is a predicted model, not a curated record.